RNAcentral lists this ribosomal RNA (531 nucleotides) under Chaetomium strumarium. Its description in RNAcentral is "28S ribosomal RNA". It matches the Rfam family "Eukaryotic large subunit ribosomal RNA", at positions 58 to 606 of the family's 3401-position model. Lineage: Eukaryota; Fungi; Ascomycota; Sordariomycetes; Sordariales; Chaetomiaceae. The record is from RNAcentral.
AAAGAAACCAACAGGAUUCCCUAUACGGCGAGUAACGGCAACAGCUAAAUUGGAAAUCUGGCCUCGGCCCGAGUUGUAAUUUGUAGAGGAAGCUUUAGGCGCGGCACCUUCUGAGUCCCCUGGAACGGGGCGCCACAGAGGGUGAGAGCCCCGUAUAGUUGGAUGCCUAGCCUGUGUAAAGCUCCUUCGACGAGUCGAAGUAGUUUGGGAAUGCUGCUCAAAAUGGGAGGUAAAUUUCUUCUAAAGCUAAAUACCGGCCAGAGACCGAUAGCGCACAAGUAGAGUGAUCGAAAGAUGAAAAGCACUUUGAAAAGAGGGUUAAAUAGCACGUGAAAUUGUUGAAAGGGAAGCGCUUGUGACCAGACUUGCGCCGGGCGGAUCAUCCGGUGUUCUCACCGGUGCACUCCGCCCGAGCUCAGGCCAGCAUCGGUUCUCGCGGGGGGAUAAAGGCCCCUGGGAACGUAGCUCCUCCGGGAGUGUUAUAGCCCGGGGCUGUAAUGUCCUCGCGGGGACCGAGGUCCGCGCAUGGCA